GCUUGGCUGAAAACCCUGUGUCUAAGGGAGAGAAAGGAUUCUGCUGUGGUGGGCUGAGGGCAGGGGCAUUUCAGACAUAGGAGGGAGAAGCAGGACAGAGAUGUUAGCCAUUUAUGAAACAGUCUUCACACACUACUGCCUUCAAACUGUCUUGUCUGCUCCUUCCCUUGUCAAUAUCUCAGAUGGAUGGGUUAGCUUUCCUGUUAACUUCUGUAAUUGACUCAUUUUCAGGUAUUAAAAUGUCCUGCCCACUUUCUAUCAAAUCCAGUCUUGCAGGCUAUUCCAGUCUUCCUCCCUCCUCUUGUCUCAGCCUGACCUGAGCUGGAAUCCUGGAGGAGGGGAGGUUGGGGAAUUGGGACUGUCUAGCAUGUUUCUCCCUCCUUGCCCUCUUAUCUGCUGCUGUGGGUGUUCUAUCCCCUGUGUGUGAGCCCUGAGGUGAGAGGACAGAUGUCAUCCUGGAUGGGCCGUUACAAGGCAUCAAUUGUAUCAGGGAGUGGCACCUUCUGUUGGCUUUCACGGGGCAUCAUGGUUUUCUCAGGAAGGAUCUCUGUGUGACACUAUUUCUGGGUGUGGGUUGCCUGUUCUCUGGCUGACCUCAUGGGACCUUCCUCUUGCUCUCCUUUCUUGCAGGAAACCCUACAACUAACAGACAAGAUGCCUUCAAGACAUCUUGAGCCUAGCUACCUCCCGUGGCCUGUAUUUGGUCCACAGGAAACUCAUGCAGUCUUGCUACAGCAAAUUGAGGUGGUAUAGGGUGCCUGCUGCUGCCUCUCUCCUCACCUUUCCACAGAGGGCUGCCCCAGCGUGACCCCCACUUCCAGUUUCUCCAGCCAGGAGAAUCCUGAAAUCUCUGCAAAUAAGCAGUCCAGGAGCCAGAGAAUUGUGGGAUCUCAUAUAAACAAAUCAUCCAGGAAAAACACAGCCAGUCUCCUUUUGGUAAACCUCCAUGACUGGGGAUCCCCUGCCACCUGGAAAGCAGUUCUGCCUGCCAUGCAUGUCAUCACUGAUUUUUACUGCUGCAGCAGACUCUGUCAUACCUGCCCGCUUCUUCAGUGAAUUGUUCAGUGUGCACCACCAGCUACCUGCUGUAAGCAUUCGCACUUCUCUACCUGCCUGGCAGCCUUUCUCAGCUGAACACAGGCCAGGCCAGAAGUGCCAGGGAGUUAAUGUCCUUGGAAGCAGCUCUCUACCAAUGACAAAUGGAGCUGGUGGAUAAAUUCUCAGCUUCCUCCCCUCUCAGGUGGGACAGCCCUGAGAUGUGCUCUAUGCAAUCUCCCACAAGUCCCCAGCAGGCUCAAGCUCCCAUUGUCCCACCCUGGUAACCUGCUCAUCGACACCCCUGUCUUGCCUUCCCUUCCUGGCCUCACUUCCUCACUCUCUUACUGUUGCCUCCUGAGAUCGCAUCCAAAGUAAAUGACCUGCACCCAAA
Molecule: non-coding RNA, 1429 nt
Organism: Macaca mulatta (Rhesus monkey)
Lineage: Eukaryota; Metazoa; Chordata; Mammalia; Primates; Cercopithecidae
Source: RefSeq, a predicted model, not a curated record